AAAUUGAAGAGUUUGAUCAUGGCUCAGAUUGAACGCUGGCGGCAGGCCUAACACAUGCAAGUCGAACGGUAACAGGAAGAAGCUUGCUUCUUUGCUGACGAGUGGCGGACGGGUGAGUAAUGUCUGGGAAACUGCCUGAUGGAGGGGGAUAACUACUGGAAACGGUAGCUAAUACCGCAUAACGUCGCAAGACCAAAGAGGGGGACCUUCGGGCCUCUUGCCAUCGGAUGUGCCCAGAUGGGAUUAGCUAGUAGGUGGGGUAACGGCUCACCUAGGCGACGAUCCCUAGCUGGUCUGAGAGGAUGACCAGCCACACUGGAACUGAGACACGGUCCAGACUCCUACGGGAGGCAGCAGUGGGGAAUAUUGCACAAUGGGCGCAAGCCUGAUGCAGCCAUGCCGCGUGUAUGAAGAAGGCCUUCGGGUUGUAAAGUACUUUCAGCGGGGAGGAAGGGAGUAAAGUUAAUACCUUUACUCAUUGACGUUACCCGCAGAAGAAGCACCGGCUAACUCCGUGCCAGCAGCCGCGGUAAUACGGAGGGUGCAAGCGUUAAUCGGAAUUACUGGGCGUAAAGC
Molecule: ribosomal RNA, 576 nt
Filed under: Escherichia coli
Lineage: Bacteria; Pseudomonadati; Pseudomonadota; Gammaproteobacteria; Enterobacterales; Enterobacteriaceae
Description: bacterial SSU rRNA
Rfam family: Bacterial small subunit ribosomal RNA
Source: RNAcentral